Molecule: non-coding RNA, 30 nt
Filed under: Rattus norvegicus (Norway rat)
Lineage: Eukaryota; Metazoa; Chordata; Mammalia; Rodentia; Muridae
Source: RNAcentral
UGCUACAAUCUAGCUCCAUGGCCUCAAAGC